GCCUCGGUGGUGUACUAGUAGAUGUAGCAGUACUAGCACGCUCCCCCGGAGAGGAUGAAACGCGGGUUCGAUUCCCGUCCGAGACC
Non-coding RNA from Parelaphostrongylus tenuis, 86 nucleotides. The record is from the annotation of a GenBank genome assembly. NCBI's taxonomy places the organism in Eukaryota, Metazoa, Nematoda, Chromadorea, Rhabditida, Metastrongylidae.